GUCCUUUUGAAUAAAAUUUAAGGUCUAACCUGCCCACUGAUUUAUUUGAAUGGCCGCGGUAUUUUGACCGUGCUAAGGUAGCAUAAUCAUUAGUUUUUUAAUUGAAAGCUGGAAUGAAGGGUUGAAUGAAAAAAUAACUGUCUCUUAUAAAUUUUAUUAGAAUUUUAUUUUUAAGUUAAAAAGCUUAAAUUUAUUUAAAAGACGAGAAGACCCUAUAGAGUUUAAUAUUUUAAUGUUAAUAAAAAUAAAGAAUUUAAUUUUUAUUGGUAUUAUUAUAUUUAAUUGGGGUGAUUAAAAAAUUUAUUAAACUUUUUUUUUAUUUAAAUAUUAAUUAAUAAGUAAUUGAUCCAAAUUUUUUGAUUAUAAGAAUAAAUUACCUUAGGGAUAACAGCGUAAUUAUAUUGGAGAGUUCUAAUCGAUAGUAUAGAUUGCGA
RNAcentral lists this ribosomal RNA (434 nucleotides) under Psylliodes chrysocephalus. Its description in RNAcentral is "partial 16S large subunit ribosomal RNA". Lineage: Eukaryota; Metazoa; Arthropoda; Insecta; Coleoptera; Chrysomelidae. The record is from RNAcentral.